Molecule: ribosomal RNA, 164 nt
Filed under: uncultured rumen bacterium
Lineage: Bacteria
Description: partial 16S ribosomal RNA
Rfam family: Bacterial small subunit ribosomal RNA
Source: RNAcentral
UACGGGAGGCAGCAGUGAGGAAUAUUGGUCAAUGGGCGCGAGCCUGAACCAGCCAAGUAGCGUGCAGGAUGACGGCCCUAUGGGUUGUAAACUGCUUUUAUGCGGGGAUAAAGUCGGCUACGUGUAGCCGUUUGCAGGUACCGCAUGAAUAAGGACCGGCUAAU